GACCUCGGAUCAGGUAGGAAUACUCGCUGAACUUUCGUAUAUCUAUAAGCGGAGAAA
RNAcentral lists this ribosomal RNA (57 nucleotides) under Trichoderma harzianum. RNAcentral describes it as "partial 28S ribosomal RNA". Lineage: Eukaryota; Fungi; Ascomycota; Sordariomycetes; Hypocreales; Hypocreaceae. The record is from RNAcentral.